GUGGGGAAUAUUGGACAAUGGGGGCAACCCUGAUCCAGCCAUGCCGCGUGAGUGAUGAAGGCCCUAGGGUUGUAAAGCUCUUUCACCGGUGAAGAUAAUGACGGUAACCGGAGAAGAAGCCCCGGCUAACUUCGUGCCAGCAGCCGCGGUAAUACGAAGGGGGCUAGCGUUGUUCGGAAUUACUGGGCGUAAAGCGCACGUAGGCGGACAUUUAAGUCAGGGGUGAAAUCCCGGGGCUCAACCCCGGAACUGCCUUUGAUACUGGGUGUCUGGAGUUCGAGAGAGGUCGGUGGAAUUGCGAGUGUAGAGGUGAAAUUCGUAGAUAUUCGCAGGAACACCAGUGGCGAAGGCGGCCGACUGGCUCGAUACUGACGCUGAGGUGCGAAAGCGUGGGGAGCAAACAGG
This 405-nucleotide ribosomal RNA is filed under the name uncultured Mesorhizobium sp. RNAcentral's name for it is "bacterial SSU rRNA". It matches the Rfam family "Bacterial small subunit ribosomal RNA", at positions 354 to 776 of the family's 1533-position model. The record is from RNAcentral. Lineage: Bacteria; Pseudomonadati; Pseudomonadota; Alphaproteobacteria; Hyphomicrobiales; Phyllobacteriaceae.